CGGCUAUGUCACUAAUGUAUCCACUGAUAAAGGCCCACACUGCUGUAUGGGAAUCGGCGCCAUUUUUCGUGGCAAGAAGCAAUACCCAGUUUCUCAAUUUUUUCUACAAGUAAACUCAUUGAUAUACUGCACGAAAAAGGGAAAAAAUCAAGGAUUCACGACAAUGCUUUCCCGGGAUGACUUUUAAAAUACGACAACUUUGAAAUGGAAGAAAUCA
This is a non-coding RNA of Bemisia tabaci, 217 nucleotides long. NCBI's taxonomy places the organism in Eukaryota, Metazoa, Arthropoda, Insecta, Hemiptera, Aleyrodidae. The record is from RefSeq and is a predicted model, not a curated record.